AUGGACGGAUCCACCGUCAACCGACUCGUCAUCCUCUUCCUCCUCGUACUUGUCCUCGCCACCAGCAACAGCGAGCAUGGACACGCAGGAGCCGUUGAUGCGGGCAACGUCGUCGUCGUCCGGGUCCGGCUAAUCGGCCGCGGCCCGGAUGACAAGACCACCGUCGCUGUGCAGAGACACGACCUCUCCUUCGCCGGCUUCACCGACGGCAGCGGCCAUUGGCACGCCUUUCCUGGCCUUGAGCAUCUCUUCCCCACGUCCACGACGCUCCCGUUCGGCAGCAGCUACAGCGACCUCAUCGGCGGCCUCGCGAACCUGCCGGGCGUGCCGCUAGGGCGGGAGGCCAUGCUGGAGGCCAUCCGCGUGCUCUCCGCCUACCGCCCCGGGGCCGACGUGGAGCCGGUCAAGCGGGCGCUGGCGGCGAUGAAGGUUGUGAUGUGCGAGGCCCAGCGGGUGAGGCCCAUCAAAGAGACCCUCAACGACGGAUGGGACACCGGUGCCCACGUCGCCCCCGAGCACCUGCCCUACAUCGAGCACUGGGACACCAUGUCCUACGAGAUCCUCCGCUCCAACAUUACGGGCAAGUGGGACGGGCCCUUCACCAACAUGCUGGAGACGGAAGCCAACAUUCACAGCAAGGAAGAGGCGCUCGCCGUCGUCGGGGUGCUCCGGAGCGUUGACUUCGAGCAAGUGAUUGAGGCUCACGCUUCCCCGAUCUAA
RNAcentral lists this ribosomal RNA (720 nucleotides) under Triticum aestivum (bread wheat). RNAcentral describes it as "partial small subunit ribosomal RNA". Lineage: Eukaryota; Viridiplantae; Streptophyta; Magnoliopsida; Poales; Poaceae. The record is from RNAcentral.